AGGAUCAUUAUUGAAAUAAACCUGAUAAGUUGUUGCUGGCUCUCUAGGGAGCAUGUGCACACUUGUCAUCUUUGUACCUUCACCUGUGCACCUUUUGUAGACUUGAGUAUCUCUCUGAAUGCUUUUGCAUUCAGGAUUGAGGAUUGACUUUCUGUCUCUUCUUAUAUUUUCAAGUCUAUGUUUCUUCAUAUACCCUAUUGUAUGUUCAAGAAUGUAAUUAAUGGGCCUUUGUGCCUAUAAAGUCUAUACAACUUUCAGCAACGGAUCUCUUGGCUCUCGCAUCGAUGAAGAACGCAGCGAAAUGCGAUAAGUAAUGUGAAUUGCAGAAUUCAGUGAAUCAUCGAAUCUUUGAACGCACCUUGCGCUCCUUGGUAUUCCGAGGAGCAUGCCUGUUUGAGUGUCAUUAAUAUAUAUCAACCUUUGGUUGGAUGUGGGUUUGCUGGCCUCUUAAGGUCAGCUCCCCUUAAAUGCAUUAGCGGACAAAAUAUUGCCAACUGUUYAUUGGUGUGAUAAUUUAUCUACACUAUUAACCUGACGCAAUGUUCAGCUUCUAACAGUCCAUUGACUUGGACAAAUUUAUUUUAUUAAUGUGACCUCAAAUCAGGUAGGACUACCCGCUGAACUUAA
RNAcentral lists this ribosomal RNA (627 nucleotides) under Calonarius luteolus. RNAcentral's name for it is "eukaryotic LSU rRNA". The stretch from base 250 to 403 matches the Rfam family "5.8S ribosomal RNA". Lineage: Eukaryota; Fungi; Basidiomycota; Agaricomycetes; Agaricales; Cortinariaceae. The record is from RNAcentral.